Heterocephalus glaber (naked mole-rat) is the source of this 6169-nucleotide non-coding RNA. NCBI's taxonomy places the organism in Eukaryota, Metazoa, Chordata, Mammalia, Rodentia, Bathyergidae. The record is from RefSeq and is a predicted model, not a curated record.
UCCUGCUGAGGUAAAGUGGCUCCCUUCUCCAAGACAUGCUCCUGCUCCAGUCGCUGCUUACUGUGGCCAGAACCACAGGAGCGGGAAGUCCGGCCUGAAUCCUCUGAAACCAUGAGCCAGAGCAGCCCUUCUUCUUUCACAGCUAAACUAACGAAGCAACCCGAGGUGGAGGCUCACACUCCAAACAGGACCACAAGGACUUCCCGCAGGUCCCCUCUGCCCCUCCUGCCUUCUGCUUUCUUCAGGCUCUCUCCCGGCUUCUCCCCUCUCCAGCUUCUCAGGAAAGUCAGAAACAGGGCAGAGGGCUCAGGGUUGGGAAGAAUCUUACUAGACAUCUUACUGGUUCUGUUCAAAGCUUGAAUUAUUUUUAGGAAAGUGCUCUUUCAAGGGCAGUGUACACUCACUGCCGCUGGAGAGCUGGUCUGAAGGCAGAUUUUGAUCCACUAGGUCUAGGGUGGAGUCUGAAGUUCUGUGUUUCUAACAAGUGCUCAUUUACUGCUCAUGGACCUUUACUCAUACUUUGCAUAAAAAGGAUCUAAAAAGGAGCCAUCCAUUUUCUUAAAUAUCCAUGGGGCAUUUACCACCUGCUUAAGAAACUGACAGAAUCUUUAACUCAAACUGACUACAAAAUAAAGAGAAUUUGUUAAUUCAUAACAAUUUCCAGAAGUUCAGGUAUAGUGAGAUCCAGGUGCACAAAGGCUGGCAUCAGGAAUUAGUCUCUGUCCACCUCUCAGUUCUGCCUUCUUCCAGCCUUGCUCUACCCUCCAAUUGUCCAUACUCUUAAUGAUGGAAAAGAAUAGGCUUCCAGCACCUCCAAGCUUACAUCCUGCCAGAUUGGCAAUCACACUAUAAACCAGUCAAUGUGACCAAGAGCAUGGAAUGUGCUGAAUACCCAGGCCUGGUCAUCUGGUCACCCCUUGAGCAAGAGGCUGGACCCGUUACACCAAGCACAUGGACUGCAGGUUUCGAUGAUCUGGGUGAUUCUUCAGCAGACCUAGAGGUGGACAUCAGGAACACCUGGUCCAGACCGCCAUCCUUGCUCACUUGGAUCAUGGGACUCCUGACUUGUCUCCUCCCUCCAGUCCCACCCACCAUGGUCCACUGCUGCACCAGCAGCCAGGCUGUCAUGAACUGAGCGGCUCUGCUCCACCACACCCUUCCACCAUGAUGUUUCUGUCUUGGAGCAGCCAACCAUGGACUGAAUCCCCCAAACCGUGAGCCAAAUUAGACCUAUCUUUCUCUAAGUUGUGGGGGUCAGAUGUUGUGUCUCAGCAAUGUGAAAGCUGCUAAUACAAAACUCUUCCUCGAAGAAACAAACAGGUAUAAACACAGGUGAAUGAGGGUAUGAAUUUAGAAGUAGGUAACUAAGAGCAGAACUGCACUUUAGAGCUGAUUUCCCAGCUCUGGCUGCAGGCAGGAACUCCAGGCUUCCACCUCAGCCCCUCACUCAGAGCUUUGACCUGGGCCUGAGAUACAGACUUCAUACACCUGGUGGUUGGGGCUGAGUGCUUCUGCAUGUGCGGCCCCAGACUGUCAGCAUUGGCUUCACCUGCAGACGUCCAUGGUUCUCAGGCUGCACAGUAACCACGCGGUGCAGGAGGCACAGGUCCCAGGUGCUGCUGCUGCUGCCACAGACAGGGUUACACUCUGACCCUGGAGUCCUCUGCCUGCUGAUCCUCUGUGGAGAGAGGAGACCGGAGCUUGCUGGUCUCAGGUAGGAAGCCCUUGGCAGUGGCACUGAGCUGCCCUGUCAACUGUCCUUUCCCUUGAUUCCUGUGUCUGUAGAUGAGGUUCUGAGGCCUAGGAGGAGCACACUUUGCUCAAAUCCUGAGAUCCACCUUGGAAAAGCCACAUGGGCAGGGUGUCUCUUGAGCGUCGUGGUGUGCCAAGGGCUUCGGGCAGGCCUCUGCAGCCUAAGGUAGGGUCUCUGGAGAAAGGUGGGGCUCAGCAACAACCCACCUGGCCCAAGGCCAGCAAGGGCUAGCCAGGCACCCCGCCCCCUGCCCUCAUGGAGGAAGCAGCUCUUCUGUGCCUCCUGCGCCCUGGGAGAAGUGGCGAGGAGCAAGCCAGGCAAAGGAAGCCGCUGCUGGCACCCCGUCACCUCCACCCCUGGGAGCUUCCUGCCUGGGUGUACUGAGCUCCACACAGCCUCUCCUGCUGUCUCUGGAGAUGGUGGGAAGACAGUGGCUGGGACCAGCAGCCACUCCCCCUCCUCCACAGUGCCAUCCUCAGGAAACCAGGCUCAGCCUGGGCAGGGAGCUUGGAGUGGCCUGCACCGGCCAUGUGACUCUGUUCCCCUGGGAAGAUGGGGAGAACUGGCAUGGCAGUGACUCUGGCCAACAAGGGUGGGGGUAGACUGCUGUGGAACUGGGAAGGGUUGGGUCUUAGAUGCUGGGCAAAAUAAAAAGAGGGAUGGAGAGAUGAAGAAUGGUUUAGCGGAAACAGGACACAGAAGAGCAGCAAGGCUAAUGGUAAAAUCUGGGUGGGAGGUGCAUAGAUGUGCACUCUGCUAUUUCAGCUUUUCUGUAUGUUUGGAACUUUGCAUCAGAAAAUGUCUAAAAAGAAUCGUGCUUGAGUAUCUUGUCAGGCUGAAUUUAUUCAUACACUAAGACUGCACAGUUCUACUUCUAGACAUGUAUUUAACAAAUAUAAUCCCAGCACUUGGAAGGCUGAGGCAGGAGGAUCACCCCAACUUCAAGGCCAUCCUGGGCUCAUACUGAGUUCAAGGGCAGAGUGAACUAUAGGAUGAGAGCCUGUCUCAAACAAAAGACAUUAAAAGUAGAGUGUGGUUCCCUGCAUGUAAAGCUGGUGAACUGGCUAAGCCAACCACGGUGUCAGCUUCCGGCUUCUGGAGAUGGGUAUGGGAGAAGUGACCAGAGCAAGCAGGGGGGCUCCUGGGGAAUUGAUCACAGCUGCUUGUUGCUCUGUGAGGCUUCAGGGAAGGGACUGAGUAGUGCACUUAUCUUGUACACUUUUCUUCACAUGCAUGCUCUUGGUGGGAAAAGGCCCCUUGCCUGGCCCUCUCUGCAAUGGGGUGGGGGUGACAGGUGGAAUUUCUGCCACCUUCCAGUGACCACACAGGGACGAGCCAGCUCUCUGAUGGCAGAGCAGAGAGGCGGAACAAGGUGCCUUUGUCUGCCUGACCCUGGUCCUCCUCGAGGAUCUGCAAGGUAAACAACUGCCCCUGCUGGCCACGAUGAUCCUAACCCAGACUGGGCCCAGCUAGUGCUGAGCAAGGGUGGAACCAGGGCAGCCCCGCCCCAGUUGCUGUUGGAGGAACUGAGCAGGGACUACAGAGGUGCACUUGCUGGACUGCAGCGCUGUCAUGAGCUAGGCCCCUGGCACCUUGUCCUGCACCCGGGCCAGGACUCCCAAGCUGAGCAGCUGCUCUGCGAAGCCCCUGUCACCCAGGUGUGGGGACCAGUUCCCCUCCCACAGCCGUGCCGGGUCGGGUCGAGGAGGCACUCAGGAGUCUCCACUGACUACCCAGCAGUAACCAAGGCAGGGCUGGCCCCGAGUGCUCCACACAUGGCCCCGUGUCGUCAGCUAUUCACCUUGCUUCCACGUUAACCCAAUCCACUUCACUGGGGGGAUGAACUGACAGAGCCCUUGAGACAACUCCGCAGCCCAGGACCCCUUACCCAUCCGCCUCUGCCGUGCAGCUGCUGCCGGAAGCCCUGCCCAUCUUCCUCCCUUCAGCCCACAGACUAAGACUGCUCUGUCUGGGCUCAGCUUUGGUGCUCCCCUCUGGGAACACUCACUGCAGAGUGAGUGCCCACGGGAUUCGCCAACCUGGCAACAAAGAUGAGGACCCUUGUAACUGGCAUUCACCAGGGAGGCUUAGGCAAGUUGGAGUGUGUGUUCACCCAGCCUUCACCACAGCCCUGUGCAAUCGACCUUCCUGUCCUAUUCCCAGGAAGGAACCAGACGUGCAAAGACAUGAGAAACGUCCUCGCCCAACUCCCCACUACUUGUUACACCAAACACCAAAUUAUUCUCUCUUUAAGCCUAGUAACUAUAGCAACCAGAGAGCUCUUCCUCAUCCAUUGCAUCUACAAACAUUUUAAAAAAUCAUAGCUGGCAGCACUGGCAAAGUGGCAGGGAAAUAAACACAUCGAUGGGCAGAGGCAUAAGUUGAUGUAGAAACCUGGACACAAGGUGGCAUUAAGAGUGUGUGAUCCCAGAGCACACUCGGUGCUCCAGAGCAUGGAGACUCUGGUGGCGCCUGGUGGGUGAUUGUGGUCCAGCCAGUCAGGGCACAGCUGGGCGGACUGCGCCAGCCUUCAGCCUCUGAGUAGCAGGCAGUGGCUGUGGGGCAUCCUUGGGGCUCUCCAAGUGCCCUGCCUGGCCAGUCCUGCUAGUGUCUUGAUGCCCAUUUUGCUCUGGGUGGUGUGAGAAGCCUCGCCGUGGAAGUUUAGGGCCAGAAAAAGAGCUUGAGUGUGCGUGAGCUGGACCUCGGAGCCCCGGCCCUCAAGCCGCUGAGAACUGUUCUGUCCAAAACAGUGAACUGGGGGCCGAGAGAGGUCAGUUUUUCUUUUCCCCUCCCCUCCUCCAUGGGGAAAAAUUGCAGGCAAUUUUGCAUAAGAUUUUUUUAAAGGUUCAUAAACUACAAGAUAAGUAUCUGGGAGCGUGGGUUUGCACCCCAGAUGCAGGGCACAUGCUUCUCCACAGAGACCUAACAGGGAAACUCUUGACUAGAGGGGACGGAAGGUCAGUGGUCUCCACCUGGAUGUAGCUAAUAGGAGGCAUUUAUGGACAAAAAAUAAAAGUUUGCAUAGAAGUUUAUUAUUAAAAGAUUAUCUCUAGAACAAAAAGUUACAAUGUUAAAUUUGGAGAGAAGAAAGAGUAAUAGAGUUAGUUAAAUCAUCACUUAUGGCAAUAGUGAAUCUAUGAGUAUUACCUUAAAUUGAUAAUUCAGUAACCCCUCCCCACAGCUAAGAGCUCUCAGGGGCUGGGUAUGUAACUCAGUGGUGCCAAACCUGCCUGGCAAGCGCAAGUCCCGGAGUUCAAUCCCCAGUACUGCAAAAACAAAAAGAACAACAACAAAAAAGCUAUCAGAACUAAAAUGGAAAGCAGUUCAAAGCUUGCCUGAAGGGAGGGGUGAGUUUCAUUAUAAAUCCCUCUAUGAUCUUAUUUUUUUAAACCACAUGCAAACAUUACUGUGAUUAAAAAUAAGAAUUUGUAAGGAAGGAAUUAGAGAUUCUCAAACUGAUUUUUGGCUUUCAGUAUAAAUGAAUUAAAUGUGUAAUUUGGAGGGAGGGAAUUCAUCCUAAAUAUUAGAUCCUCUCAUCUCCCCAACCUCAUGCUGAUGCUUGACUCCAGGGUCACCUCGUGUAUCCUAGGCUCCAGGCUCCUGCUCUUUGGAGAAAUCUUGCUAAGGACAAGAACAGUCUCUCCAUCUGGGAGUCAUUGCCAGAGGUUUUACCCUUCAGUACUUAGGGAAGACUCCUUAAUAGAGCAGAAAGUACCAGGGACCUACAGUCCAGAAACCUAAAGUUCGAGCCGCAGUUGGUACCAACAGAGAAGCCGUUAGCAGUUUUCGGAAGAGAUUACCUCUUUGCCUUCUUCACAGUUAUGAGAAUCAAAGACACUAUGAGGAAGUAUUUUUGUGCUCUUUUAAAAUAAAAAUCAGGCUGGGGAAUUAGCUCAGUGGCCCUGUGCCCAUCUCUGGUACCAAAACAAAAAAUAAAAUAAAAAGCAGUGUCAUUAUCAUUAAUACUGUUAAAGUGUAGGUACCCUGGGGAACAAUUAUGAACAUCAAAAUACACUUUUCUUGGUUGUGCUAGGGAUUGAAUAUAGGAGUUCACAUAUGCUAACCAAGCCCUCUACCACUGAGCUACACCCCCAGCCCAUAUCCAUAAAAACAAAUAAUAAUAAUGGAUAACCUAUUGAGUGAGAAGUGCAUAUUGAUACAAAUAAAUGAGAAGAAAGCCUUAUAGUAGAAUGCCAACCAAAAAGUGUAAAAGGAAUGAUGAUGUUAGAAAGUAAAAAUAUUAAAAGGAAUGGUACGUUCAAAAGACCCUUUCUUUUGAAUAAAGGUUGACUGUCACUUCUUGGCCUUUUGGCUAAGAUCAAGUGUGAAUAAAGGUGGAUGUUGCUGUUCUACUUUAUUGCUAGAUUAAAAAGAAAAAGAAGGCCAGGCAUGGUGGCACACAUCUGUAAUCCCAGU